RNAcentral lists this long non-coding RNA (1028 nucleotides) under Numida meleagris (helmeted guineafowl). Its description in RNAcentral is "lncRNA (ENSNMEG00000001174.1)". The record is from RNAcentral. Lineage: Eukaryota; Metazoa; Chordata; Aves; Galliformes; Numididae.
CUAUGGGUCUGUCCAUGUCCCCUAUGGGAUUUCUGUGGGGCAAGGGGGAUCUAUGGGGUGCCGGGUCCCUGUGGGUCCCUAUGGGUCUCUAUGGGUCUCUCUAUGUCCCCCAUGGGUCUGUGUGGGGCAUUUGGGAUCUAUGGGGUGAUGGGUCACUAUGGGUCCCUAUGGGUCCCCUGUAUCCCCCCAUGGGUCUGUGUGGGGCAGUGAGGAUCUAUGGGGUCUCUGUGGGGUCUCUGUGCUGUCUCAAUGGGUCUCUAUGUCCCCCAUGGGUCUGUGUGGGGCAGUGGGGAUCUAUGGGGUGAUGGGUCUCUAUGGGUCCCCAUGGGUCUCUAUGGGUCUGUGUGGGGCAGCGAGGAUCUAUGGGGUGACAGGUCUUUAUGGUGGUCCCUAUGGGAUCUCUAUGGGGCAGUGAGGAUCUAUGGGGUGAUGGGUCUUUAUGGGUCUCUACGGGUCUCUCUACGUCCCCCAUGGGUCUGUGUGGGGCAUUUGGGAUCUAUGGGGUGCCGGGUCCCUGUGGGUCUCUAUGGGUCCCCUGUAUCCCCCCAUGGGUCUGUGUGGGGUAGUGGGGCAGUCUAUGGGGUGAUGGGUCUCUAUGGGUCUCCAUGGGUCUCUAUGGGUCUGUGUGGGGCAGUGGGGAUCUAUGGGGUGAUGGGUCUCCAUGGGUCCCUAUGGGUCCCUAUGGGUCUCUCCAUGUCCCCUAUGGGAUCUCUGUGGGGCAGGGGGGAUCUAUGGGGUGAUGGGUCUCUAUGGGUCUCUAUGGGUCUCUAUGGGUCUCUCUAUGGGUCUCUAUGGGUCUCUAUGGGUCUCUCUAUGGGUCUCUAUGGGUCUCUAUGGGUCUCUAUGGGUCUCUCUAUGGGUCUCUAUGGGUCCCUAUGGGUCCCUAUGGGUCUCUAUGGGUCCCUAUGGGUCCCUAUGGGUCUCUAUGGGUCCCUAUGGGUCCCUAUGGGUCUCUAUGGGUCCCUAUGGGUCUCUCUAUGGGUCCCUAUGGGUCUCUAUGGGUCUCUAUGGGUCUCUAUGGGUCCCUA